Molecule: ribosomal RNA, 457 nt
Filed under: uncultured bacterium
Lineage: Bacteria
Description: SSU rRNA
Rfam family: Bacterial small subunit ribosomal RNA
Source: RNAcentral
AGAAUCAACGCUGGCGGCGUGCCUAAUACAUGCAAGUCGAACGAGAAAGUGGAGCAAUCCAUGAGUAAAGUGGCGCACGGGUGAGUAACACGUGACUAACCUACCUUUUAGUGGGGGAUAACCUAGGGAAACCUGGGCUAAUACCGCAUAACACUUACGAGUCAAAGCAGCAAUGCGCUGAAAGAGGGGGUCGCGGCCGAUUAGCUAGUUGGCGGGGUAAUGGCCCACCAAGGCAGUGAUCGGUAUCCGGCCUGAGAGGGCGCACGGACACACUGGAACUGAAACACGGUCCAGACUCCUACGGGAGGCAGCAGUGGGGAAUUUUGCGCAAUGGGGGAAACCCUGACGCAGCAACGCCGCGUGGAGGAUGAAGUCCCUUGGGACGUAAACUCCUUUCGAUCGGGACGAUAAUGACGGUACCGAAGAAGAGCCCCGGCUAACUCGUGCCAGCAGCCGC